GACGAACGCUGGCGGCGUGCCUAAUACAUGCAAGUCGAACGCAGUGGGGACGGGUGAGUAACACGUGGGUAACCUGCCAUCAGAGGGGAUACCACUUGGAAACAGGUGCUAAACCGAUACUGAUGGAUGGACCCGCGGUGGAUUAGCUAGUUGGUGAGGUAACGGCUCACCAAGGCCACGAUGCAUAGCAGGCCUGAGAGGAUGAUCGGCCACACUGGGACUGAGACACGGCCCAGACUCCUACGGGAGGCAGCAGUAGGGAAUAUUCGGCAAUGGGCGAAAGCCUGACCGAGCAAUGCCGCGUGAGUGAAGAAGGUUCUCGGUUCGUAAAGCUCUGUCAUUAGAGAAGCGGUAUCUAACCAGAAAGCCACGGCUAACUACGUGCCAGCAGCCGCGGUAAUUC
RNAcentral lists this ribosomal RNA (403 nucleotides) under uncultured bacterium. RNAcentral describes it as "partial 16S ribosomal RNA". It matches the Rfam family "Bacterial small subunit ribosomal RNA", at positions 28 to 526 of the family's 1533-position model. The record is from RNAcentral.